This 409-nucleotide ribosomal RNA is filed under the name Actinomycetes bacterium. RNAcentral's name for it is "Actinobacteria bacterium partial 16S ribosomal RNA". It matches the Rfam family "Bacterial small subunit ribosomal RNA", at positions 355 to 776 of the family's 1533-position model. Lineage: Bacteria; Bacillati; Actinomycetota; Actinomycetes. The record is from RNAcentral.
UGGGGAAUAUUGCACAAUGGGCGGAAGCCUGAUGCAGCGACGCCGCGUGGGGGAUGAAGGCCUUCGGGUUGUAAACUCCUUUCGACAGGGACGAAGCUUUUGUGACGGUACCUGUAUAAGAAGCACCGGCUAACUACGUGCCAGCAGCCGCGGUAAUACGUAGGGUGCGAGCGUUUUCCGGAAUUACUGGGCGUAAAGAGCUCGUAGGUGGUUUGUCGCGUCGUCUGUGAAAUUCCGGGGCUUAACUCCGGGCGUGCAGGCGAUACGGGCUGACUUGAGUGCUGUAGGGGAGACUGGAAUUCCUGGUGUAGCGGUGAAAUGCGCAGAUAUCAGGAGGAACACCGAUGGCGAAGGCAGGUCUCUGGGCAGUAACUGACGCUGAGGAGCGAAAGCAUGGGUAGCGAACAGG